This is a non-coding RNA of Schistosoma mattheei, 45 nucleotides long. NCBI's taxonomy places the organism in Eukaryota, Metazoa, Platyhelminthes, Trematoda, Strigeidida, Schistosomatidae. The record is from Rfam.
AUCUAGCUAACGAGUCGCAAAUAGGACGAAACGCGUGUUCUGGAU